Long non-coding RNA from Tupaia belangeri chinensis (Chinese tree shrew), 485 nucleotides. RefSeq lists it as uncharacterized. Lineage: Eukaryota; Metazoa; Chordata; Mammalia; Scandentia; Tupaiidae. The record is from RefSeq and is a predicted model, not a curated record. The transcript has 3 exons.
AUCCUUCUAAGUAGGUCCGCGUGGCGCCGCGGUGGCCCUGGCUCCACGACGCCGGCCUCGUUGUCUUCCUCUUGGCCUUGCUCUUGUCCCAGCCCCAGGUCUCCGUCCCUCCAUGUGCCUCAAACAGCUAGGAGCUUGGGUCAUGUAGGUGCACGAGAUGGCGAGGCUCUGCCCCUACGGAGAGCAGGAAACAGAAUGAACACGGAAUGAGAACCACCACCCCCAAGAAUUGUACAGCCAUCAGGUGUCCCAGUGCCUGGAUUUGCCCUGUCGGGCUAUGUACCUGUUGGAUGGAAAAAUGCAACUAUGUAAAAUUCUAACACAGGAGGAUCUGACCCAGGGAAUUGGGUAGAAGGACCCACGGCUGUGCCCUUGAGCCCAGAGCGCUCUGACAAGCACCUCGGAGGCUCGGCACCUGUCAACAGCUACCAGAAUGCAUCCCGGGGCCCUGCUCAGCCCCACGUGUUCCCUCCGCCGGCCGUCUC